Molecule: ribosomal RNA, 497 nt
Filed under: uncultured bacterium
Lineage: Bacteria
Description: partial 16S ribosomal RNA
Rfam family: Bacterial small subunit ribosomal RNA
Source: RNAcentral
GAUGAACGCUGGCGGCGUGCCUAAUACAUGCAAGUCGAGCGGACGGACGAUAAGCUCGCUCCCCUGCUGUUAGCGGGGGACGGGCGAGUAAGACGUGGAUCACCUUCUUCUAUGACUGGGAUAACUUCGGGAAACCAUAGACAAUACCGGCUCAUAUUUUGAACCGCAUGGUUCAAAAGUGCAACACGGCCUUGCUGUCACUAAUAGAUGAAUCCGCGCUGGAUUAGCUAGUUGGUAAGGUAACGGCUAACCAAGGAGACGAUGCAUAGCCGACCUGAGAGGGUGAUCAGCCACACUGGAACUGAGACACGGUCCAGACUCCUACGGGAGGCAGCAGUAGGGAAUCUUCCGCAAUGGGCGAAAGCCUGACGGAGCAACGCCGCGUGAGUGAUGAAGGUCUUCGGGUCGUAAAACUCUGUUAUUAGGGAAGAACAUAUGUGUAAGUAACUGUGCACAUCUUGACGGUACCUAAUCAGAAAGCCACGGCUAACUACGUG